AUUAUUGGUGGACUAACGAUAAAGUACUUUGCAGGUACAUGCAACACCCCAAACUUCUAUGUAAUUAGUGCAUUAUUGUUUAGCCCCACGAAUAAUACAUA
This 101-nucleotide non-coding RNA is filed under the name Mico humeralifer (Santarem marmoset). RNAcentral describes it as "Callithrix humeralifera (Santarem marmoset) Mitochondrial DNA control region secondary structure A". It matches the Rfam family "Mitochondrial DNA control region secondary structure A". Lineage: Eukaryota; Metazoa; Chordata; Mammalia; Primates; Cebidae. The record is from Rfam by way of RNAcentral.